This 269-nucleotide ribosomal RNA is filed under the name uncultured Pseudomonas sp. Its description in RNAcentral is "partial 16S ribosomal RNA". It matches the Rfam family "Bacterial small subunit ribosomal RNA", at positions 1113 to 1382 of the family's 1533-position model. The record is from RNAcentral. Lineage: Bacteria; Pseudomonadati; Pseudomonadota; Gammaproteobacteria; Pseudomonadales; Pseudomonadaceae.
AGUUACCAGCACGUUAUGGUGGGCACUCUAAGGAGACUGCCGGUGACAACCGGAGGAAGGUGGGGAUGACGUCAAGUCAUCAUGGCCCUUACGGCCUGGGCUACACACGUGCUACAAUGGUCGGUACAAAGGGUUGCCAAGCCGCGAGGUGGAGCUAAUCCCACAAAACCGAUCGUAGUCCGGAUCGCAGUCUGCAACUCGACUGCGUGAAGUCGGAAUCGCUAGUAAUCGUGAAUCAGAAUGUCACGGUGAAUACGUUCCCGGGCCUU